RNAcentral lists this ribosomal RNA (488 nucleotides) under uncultured bacterium. Its description in RNAcentral is "bacterial SSU rRNA". It matches the Rfam family "Bacterial small subunit ribosomal RNA", at positions 28 to 507 of the family's 1533-position model. The record is from RNAcentral.
GACGAACGCUGGCGGCGUGCUUAAUACAUGCAAGUCGAGCGAGGUUAUUGUUUUGGAUCCCUUCGGGGUGAAGAAGCUUUAACCUAGCGGCGGACGGGUGAGUAACGCGUGGGUAACCUACCCCAAAGUCCGGGAUAACAGCGGGAAACCGCUGCUAAUACCGGAUGCCUUUACCUUGGGGCAUCUUGAGGUAAAGAAAGGUAACGCUUUGGGAUGGGCCCGCGUCCCAUUAGCUAGUUGGUGAGGUAACGGCUCACCAAGGCGACGAUGGGUAGCCGGCCUGAGAGGGUGGACGGCCACACUGGGACUGAGACACGGCCCAGACUCCUACGGGAGGCAGCAGUAGGGAAUAUUGCGCAAUGGACGGAAGUCUGACGCAGCGACGCCGCGUGAGCGAUGAAGGUCUUCGGAUCGUAAAGCUCUGUCCUUGGGGAAGAAGGUCUUCGGACUUGACGGUACCCAAGAAGAAAGCCCCGGCUAACUACGUG